This 1359-nucleotide ribosomal RNA is filed under the name uncultured bacterium. RNAcentral's name for it is "bacterial SSU rRNA". It matches the Rfam family "Bacterial small subunit ribosomal RNA", at positions 28 to 1381 of the family's 1533-position model. The record is from RNAcentral.
GAUGAACGCUAGCUACAGGCUUAACACAUGCAAGUCGAGGGGCAUCAGGAAGAAAGCUUGCUUUCUUUGCUGGCGACCGGCGCACGGGUGAGUAACACGUAUCCAACCUGCCCUUUACUCGGGGAUAGCCUUUCGAAAGAAAGAUUAAUACCCGAUAGCAUAAUGAUUCCGCAUGGUUUCAUUAUUAAAGGAUUCCGGUAAAGGAUGGGGAUGCGUUCCAUUAGGUUGUUGGUGAGGUAACGGCUCACCAAGCCUUCGAUGGAUAGGGGUUCUGAGAGGAAGGUCCCCCACAUUGGAACUGAGACACGGUCCAAACUCCUACGGGAGGCAGCAGUGAGGAAUAUUGGUCAAUGGGCGCUAGCCUGAACCAGCCAAGUAGCGUGAAGGAUGAAGGCUCUAUGGGUCGUAAACUUCUUUUAUAUAAGAAUAAAGUGCAGUAUGUAUACUGUUUUGUAUGUAUUAUAUGAAUAAGGAUCGGCUAACUCCGUGCCAGCAGCCGCGGUAAUACGGAGGAUCCGAGCGUUAUCCGGAUUUAUUGGGUUUAAAGGGAGCGUAGGUGGACUGGUAAGUCAGUUGUGAAAGUUUGCGGCUCAACCGUAAAAUUGCAGUUGAUACUGUCAGUCUUGAGUACAGUAGAGGUGGGCGGAAUUCGUGGUGUAGCGGUGAAAUGCUUAGAUAUCACGAAGAACUCCGAUUGCGAAGGCAGCUCACUGGACUGCAACUGACACUGAUGCUCGAAAGUGUGGGUAUCAAACAGGAUUAGAUACCCUGGUAGUCCACACAGUAAACGAUGAAUACUCGCUGUUUGCGAUAUACAGUAAGCGGCCAAGCGAAAGCAUUAAGUAUUCCACCUGGGGAGUACGCCGGCAACGGUGAAACUCAAAGGAAUUGACGGGGGCCCGCACAAGCGGAGGAACAUGUGGUUUAAUUCGAUGAUACGCGAGGAACCUUACCCGGGCUUAAAUUGCAGUGGAAUGAUGUGGAAGCAUGUCAGUGAGCAAUCACCGCUGUGAAGGUGCUGCAUGGUUGUCGUCAGCUCGUGCCGUGAGGUGUCGGCUUAAGUGCCAUAACGAGCGCAACCCUUAUCUUCAGUUACUAACAGGUCAUGCUGAGGACUCUGGAGAGACUGCCGUCGUAAGAUGUGAGGAAGGUGGGGAUGACGUCAAAUCAGCACGGCCCUUACGUCCGGGGCUACACACGUGUUACAAUGGGGGGUACAGAAGGCAGCUAGCGGGUGACCGUAUGCUAAUCCCAAAAUCCUCUCUCAGUUCGGAUCGAAGUCUGCAACCCGACUUCGUGAAGCUGGAUUCGCUAGUAAUCGCGCAUCAGCCACGGCGCGGUGAAUACGUUCCCGGGCCU